GCCCGCCUAGCUCAAUCGGAUAGAGCGUCAGACUUUUAAGGCGGGUUCAACCCUGUUGCAAUCUGAAGGCUGCGAGUUCGACCCUCGCGGUGGGCU
Molecule: non-coding RNA, 96 nt
Organism: Pluteus cervinus
Lineage: Eukaryota; Fungi; Basidiomycota; Agaricomycetes; Agaricales; Pluteaceae
Source: the annotation of a GenBank genome assembly